RNAcentral lists this ribosomal RNA (387 nucleotides) under Tigriopus fulvus. RNAcentral's name for it is "partial small subunit ribosomal RNA". Lineage: Eukaryota; Metazoa; Arthropoda; Copepoda; Harpacticoida; Harpacticidae. The record is from RNAcentral.
GCGGUUAUACUUGUUCUUCAACUCAAAAGGUUUAAAUAAAAUGCACUGAAUAACUUUGUCUAAUAAUAAAAUUGAUAGUUUAAUUUUAGAAAUUAUUGUUUAAAUUGGAUUAGCACCCAAGUAAGAAAAUUAAUUGAUUAAGGUAACACCUAAACUAAAUGGCCGUAUUAUUUGUAAAGCAGAGAAACUUGAAAUUUAGAAAAUCCACUCUAUUAUUAAUCUUAUAAAUGUUUAAGUAUGGCUGUCUAAAAAUAAAUUUUUAUUUAGAUUUAUAGUCAAGCAACAUUUAACUUAUAAGAAGAUUUUGAGUUGCAAUAAACAAAUUACUACCGGUUAAAAAAAGUCAGGAUUUGCAAGUAAAAUAAUUUUGAAAUAAGUUUAAGUACA